GCGCUGUCCGGAAUUAUUGGGCGUAAAGCGCGCGCGGGCGGUUCUUUAAGUCUGGUGUUUAAACCCGAGGCUCAACUUCGGGACGCACUGGAAACUGGGGAACUUGAGUGCAGAAGAGGAGAGUGGAAUUCCACGUGUAGCGGUGAAAUGCGUAGAUAUGUGAGGAACACCAGUGGCGAAGGCGACUCUCUGGGCUGUAACUGACGCUGAGGCGCGAAAGCGUGGG
This 226-nucleotide ribosomal RNA is filed under the name uncultured bacterium. RNAcentral's name for it is "partial 16S ribosomal RNA". It matches the Rfam family "Bacterial small subunit ribosomal RNA", at positions 538 to 765 of the family's 1533-position model. The record is from RNAcentral.